This 253-nucleotide ribosomal RNA is filed under the name uncultured bacterium. RNAcentral's name for it is "partial 16S ribosomal RNA". It matches the Rfam family "Bacterial small subunit ribosomal RNA", at positions 524 to 776 of the family's 1533-position model. The record is from RNAcentral.
UACGAAGGGGGCUAGCGUUGCUCGGAAUCACUGGGCGUAAAGGGUGCGUAGGCGGCUGAUCAAGUCGGAGGUGAAAUCCCUCGGCUCAACUGAGGAAUUGCCUUCGAUACUGUUCGGCUUGAGUCCUGGAGAGGGUAGCGGAAUUCCCGGUGUAGCGGUGAAAUGCGUAGAGACCGGGAAGAACACCAGUGGCGAAGGCGGCUACCUGGACAGGUACUGACGCUGAAUCGCGAAAGCUAGGGGAGCAAACAGG